Molecule: long non-coding RNA, 3269 nt
Organism: Gossypium arboreum
Lineage: Eukaryota; Viridiplantae; Streptophyta; Magnoliopsida; Malvales; Malvaceae
Exons: 3
Source: RefSeq, a predicted model, not a curated record
GCAUAUACCUAUUAAAAUUAGGGCUUCCCUGAUAUACGAGCUUCUGCUUUCCUUCCAAUACCGCAGCUUUAAAAUUCUCCUGAAAAUCAGCCUCCUUCCUUUCUUUUCUUUUAUUCUGCUCUUUUCCCAAAACAGUCAUACCUUCCAUAUUAGCCAAGGUACCAAAUCUAGACCCUGAUUUCCCUUUCUCCUUAGUAUCCGUUUUGAUUGGAAUAGUAUUCCGAGAAUUUCAUCGAUUUUCCUUUCGACAGCCAUCCAUGGACCGUACGCCACCGAUUCACCUCCUUCCCCCUUCUCCAUUGAUGUGUUGUUCCCUUGAAUCUUCUCCAAGCCAGAAAUCAGUUUCAUCGAAACACAUAGCUCCUUUGUAUGGCCAUACUCUCCGCAGGUGAAACAAAUGGUCGGUAAAGCUUCAUAUUCAACCCUCUGAUUUCUACCAUUAACAAGAACUUGAGCAAUCAAAGGUUUGUCCAAAUUAAUAUAAACUACCAUUCUAGCGAACCUGCCUCUAGUCCUGCUAUCAAUAUUAAAGUCCAGUCGAACUACCUUCCCAAUGGUACCUCCAAUUUCGUCAAUAAUUUUUCUCUUGUAUAAAAAAACAAGGAGACCUGAUAACCUUAUUAAUACCAAAACAAUGCUUGGGUAAGAUUGAGAGGGAUUAAAAUCUUUUGUCCAAGGUUGAACUGUCAAGUAUUGGCCAUAAAUCAUCCAAAGACCUUGGGACAGAGCUUUGGUAUAAUCAUCAAUAGAUUGAAAUUUUACCAGAUAAUAUCAGUUCUCAAUAUCCAUAAGAUGGAAUGGCUUGAUAGGGUUCUAAAGACUGCUAAUUAGGUUAUUAAGGACCCCAUAUCCAAUGUUUCUCCCAAGUAAUUUAAUUACUACUUUAAGUUCCAUUUCUUUGAAGAGGGUUUUUUAAAUCCUCUCAGAAAAAUCAAUGGCAGGAAUACCAUUGACAAUAGAUCUGCGAAUGUCUCCUUCAAAAAAAUCUAAGUCAUCAUCAGUGUCGACAUUAGGAGAAUCCAUCUUUACUUUAUCAAUCGCUCCAAGAUUACCCCCCAGAAGUUUGUCAUUCCAAGAUAUCAUUAGCUCGAACCAGAGUCCACCACCAUAUCAGUAUCUUGCUCAUCAAUUCUUUCUUUGAAUCGAACUUUCUUGGUUAUAUGGUCGGCAUAUGACCGAGCCUCAUCUCCAUCACCUAUAACCAGAUGAGAAGAAAUGUUACUAGAGUUCAGAGAGACUUCUUCCAUAGCCUUUACUAGGAAAUUGUUUUAAACGAUCAAACUAUUUAUUUAAUUAUAAUUAUAAUUAUUUCAAUCAUUUCCUUUCAUUUUCAUAGUAUAACCAAACAAAAAUGGUUAAAUUCUGUUUCUUUUUCUUUCAUUUGCAUUAUUAAUUUUAAUAAUCCAAACUUAACCUUCUUUUCUUUUACUUUCAUUUUCUUUCUUUUCCUUCACAAUUAUUAAUUCAAAAGUGUAAAGUCAAUAUUGUAGGUUGAUUACUUAACAUGUUCAGUAUGAUCAUUAACGUUAUGUUUGAUUAAUCGAAGAAUUAAUUACCUUAAGCUCGUAAUUAAAGAUGUUAUUAUCGUAAACUAACAACUAAUAUAUAUACAUAUAUAUUUUUAUCAUUCUCAAUUUAUUUCUCUCGUCCACUGCACAUAUUCCCCAAUGGUUUAAUUUAUUUAUCCUACCCAAUGUGUAAAUUUCUCAUCGAAGUAACUCACCUUUGCAUCUGAUUUGUCAAUGAUGGGCCAAAAGCUAGGCUUGGUUCGCUUUGGCUAUGUUGAAAAUUAGCCUACCAUGCUGCUGUGAUAUUUUUGGCUAAAAUGCAUACAGCACAUGAAGCUACUGUAAUAUCUCCGGAUGAAGUAGCACAAAUGUUACAAGGCUGUUUAGCUGUAAUAUCUCCGGAUGAAAUAAGUGAUUUUUGAUUUUUUUUUAUUUUUUUUAGGUGCUGAUAAUGUAAUCAGAUUUUGUGCAAGUUAACUUUUUAUAGUCCCAAUGCUGACUAGUUUAGGCGGCUUGUUUAUGUGUACAAGCAAUGUUUUUAAAGUUACUAGGCUGCUUCUGAUAGUAGGUAGAAAUAAGUGAUGUAGUUGGCUAUAAAUGUAAUGUUUUUCUUAUUGAAAAAUUAAGCAUAACGAAGCAUAUCAGAUUGCUUCCUUGCUGCACGUUUGUGAGCAAGUAAAUUUUUUCUUACUUUCUUGUUUUGUGUCCUAUAUUUCCUCCUCUACUCAGUUUUCUUUUUUUUUUUUGUUGCUGUCAAAAUCCCAACAUGGUAUCGAGAGCUUUUAUGAUCUUUGAGGGUCUUUGGAAUUUUUGCUUCUGCUGUUAGAAAGGCAAUGAGCCGUUAAAGUCUGUCACUUUUGUUUCUGCUUCUACUAUUUUUUAUGAAAGACAAGAAGCUGUUAAAGCCUGUCAUCUUUGAAGGCUGCUUGUAGAGAAGACAGCAAUAGCUCAACCCUAUGAUACUCCCAAGCAAGUUUGAAUAAGCUGAAUGAGGAGUUUCAAGGAAAGUAUGUGAGCUCAGCAAAAAUGUGCAAGCUGCAAGCUCAGCGAGUAGUAAAGUUGCUAGCUUGUUGCACAGUAAGCAAAGUGCGAGCCUGUCAAAGUGAGAGCCUGUCGAAUUGCAAGGCGAAGAGGAGGACGGUCUAAAUGCAAGCUCGAGAGGUGCAAGCCAAAAAUGGCAGACUGAAGGCAAGCAAACUAUACUUGUAAGUUGUUUAUGCAAGAAGAAGUAGGACUGUAAUUAGGACUGUAAUGAACAAGAGAACAAGGCAAGAUGUGUUGUCAACUAAGGCUGUGAAGGAGGAGAAGACUCCAUUUGCCAAGCAUGGAGUCCAAGGAGGAGUGUUGAAAAUUGGCCUACCAUGCUGCUGUGAUAUUUUUGGUUAAAGUGCAUGCAGCACAUGAAGCUGCUGUAAUAUCUUCGGAUGAAGUAGCACAAAUGUUACAAGGCUGUUUAGCUGCAAUAUCUCCUGAUAAAGCUAGGCUAUGGUAGGAGGCUUGCUUACGAUGAUGAUUCCCAAAGCAAAAGCUAUGUCGAGGUAGUCUAGAUUGGCUUACGGAUAUUUGGUUUUGGAUCACAUUGGAUACUUGGUUAAAAAGGUAAAGUCUUUUUUUUUCUUUUGAAGGUAAAAGGGUAAAGUCUUAUCUUUUGGAUUUUUCAGGUAAAUUAUAAGAAUAGUCACUCAAUUAUGCAUUUGGUUUUAUUUUAGUUACCUAAUUGUUAAUUAUUUUUAUUCAAUCACUCAACUUUUUAAAAUUAAA